CUACGGGUCGCUGCAGUGAGGAAUAUUGCACAAUGGGGGGAACCCUGAUGCAGCAACGCCGCGUGGAGGAUGACGCAUUUCGGUGUGUAAACUCCUUUUAUAUGUCAAGAAAAUGACGGUAGCAUAUGAAUAAGCACCGGCUAACUCCGGUGCCAGCAGCCGCGGUGAAUACGGAGGGUGCAAGCGUUACUCGGAAUCACUGGGCGUAAAGGACGCGUAGGCGGGUUGGAAAGUCAGGUGUGAAAUCCUACAGCUUAACUGUAGAACUGCACUUGAAACUUCUAAUCUAGAGUAUGGGAGGGGGAGAUGGAAUUAGUGGUGUAGGGGUAAAAUCCGUAGAUAUCACUAGGAAUACCUAAAGCGAAGGCGAUCUCCUGGAACAUUACUGACGCUAAGGCGUGAAAGCGUGGGGAGCAAACAGGAUUAGAUACCCUCGUAGUC
This 441-nucleotide ribosomal RNA is filed under the name uncultured bacterium. RNAcentral's name for it is "partial 16S ribosomal RNA". It matches the Rfam family "Bacterial small subunit ribosomal RNA", at positions 339 to 795 of the family's 1533-position model. The record is from RNAcentral.